Molecule: long non-coding RNA, 4544 nt
Organism: Meleagris gallopavo (turkey)
Lineage: Eukaryota; Metazoa; Chordata; Aves; Galliformes; Phasianidae
Source: RefSeq, a predicted model, not a curated record
UGGCAGGUCCCUAAAAGGACCUUAUUCCAGUCCUGACACAGUGGAACCAAUCAGUCCUGAUGAGAGUGUCAUCAAAGAUUAUAAUGUGAAUCAAUAAACUUGUUAAUAUCCAUUUAAUAUUGACUUAUCAGGCUUCAGUGAGACUGGAAAUGCAAAUGAAGGUACCAUGUAAAUCACAGGAGGUCAGGCUUAAAGUAUUGCAGAACAGGGUUUCCGUUGUGAGUGCAACCAAGAAACAGCAAGGAACUCAUCUCUUGACAAAUAGCUGCCUGGGUGUUCUUGUUUCUGUACACAAAUUUCCAUAUGCAAGAGAUAUGGGCAGUUCCCACUUCAUCUGUUUUUGCAAUUGAGCUCAUGUACAAACAAACAAUCUAAAUUCUGGAUCUGUUAUUGCGUGGUGAUAAAAUGAGUGGGAUUCCAUAAUGCAUUAGGAUCCUUGAAACUAAGAUAAGCAAUCCUUAAACUUUGAGGAGCUGAUGGAAAUGGAAAUUAACAUCAUUUCUCCUGACUCUUGCUUUCUGCAUCUUGAUUUAUCUACAGCAAUUUCAGUAGAGCUGUGCCUGCUUCUAGAAUAUCUCACUGCCCCCAUCUUUUUCUUUCAGUUUCUUUAAAGCAAGUGAAUGUCCUGAAUAUCAAUAAGAAAACGUUGAGAAGCACCUCUAGUUCAUAGAGAAUCACCAUGUUAUAGCAUCCUUUCCAAUAGUAUGGAGGGGGAAAAGCAUAUCAAAAAAAAAAGAAAAAAGGCCAGAGGACAGGCUCUGAAUCAUGUUCUCUGCAUCUGAUGAUCUCAUUUAGGCCUGUGAGAUGUUCAAGGGCAUGCCUGAAGGGGGCAAGCUGGAAGAACAUCUAUUCUUCUGGAAGAACUGGUGUAACAACCCACACCUCACCAGCGCACCCACGGACCCCUUGGGAUAAGGGUAGCUGGCAGUGUGUGUUUUGAGUCACAAAAACUCACAUUGAUGGGUUUCAAUCUUGAGAAUACUGGGAGCUUUCUAUGGAAAGCCUACCUCGAGCCAAGCUUCUACGUGUUCUUUUUGAAACUAAGGAUGUUGGUGGGAGGGAAACAAUAUGAGCCAUGCUUUUCAUACAUUUGGGCAAGAUGUGCAAAAUGAGAAACGUUAUUGUUGCUCUUGGCCGAUUCUCCUGUUCUGUUGAACUCUUGCUUUAUAUUUUUCUUCUCUAUCUAUGCUCUGCAGAUGACGUUAUUUCAGAUUAAAUGAGAAUACAAGGAAAAAAUUAGUCAGCUGAGUAGGAAAUCAUAUAUCUCCCCCUUAGUGAGCUUUUGGGUCAAAUUCCUUCAUCAAGGUCAUCAAGGUUGAAACUGGCUUUCAGCAGUAUGAACUCUUAACGUUAUUCCAAAGAUGAUUAGGUUGUGCUGUUGUUAACACUGGGAAGAGAUGCAGUGGGAAAACUGGCUGAAGAGCAUCAUUUUAGGCAUUGUGUUGAGGGACGUGGUUUAGUGAGAACUAUUGGUGACAGGUGGAAGGUUGGACUGGGUGAUCUUGUAGGUCUUUUCCAAUCUUGGUGAUUUUAUGAUUCUGUGAUCUCUGCCUUCUCCAGCGUUUGUGCUAUGGGUACAGGACUCAUCAGUGGUUGCUCAGAAGCUAAAAGCAUCUCCCCAUUAAGCCACCUAGACACAUCAGUUGGAUAUCCUCAUCCUCAGACAAAAAAAAAAAAAGAAAAAGAAAAAGAGAUGUGAUGUGGGCUUCUGUGUUCAGAGAAUCUUCUCCAAAGCACGUGGAACAUGCAGAGAGGCUGGAUGAUGCUCACGGGAGAUCCAGUGGCUGGAGCAGAGGGGGCAUGAGUUCUUGCUUUCUCCUGGUUUGCAAUGUCACAGGCACACAGAGAUCUUCUCUCCACUCAAGGAAAUCUCUUCAGGAGCUGUGGCUGUUAUUUCUGAGACUUUGAUGCAGAAGAGCCAUGGAUGGGCAAUUGGCAGAAGGUUUGUUUUUGACUUGGGAAGCGUCUGGGCUUGCCCUGUGUUUAUGUCUCUGCAGUCUGACUCAAGCCCUGCUAAGCCAACAGGAAGAAACCCAAACUCAACAGAUAUAAAGCUGCCACUCUCAAAGGGAUGAUCCUUUGGUAGCAUAUCCUUUCCCAAAUGUUUCUUCUUUCUGAUCUGCUGGUGAGAACUCGCAUCAAGCAGCUUUUCUUUUAAUGUUGAUAAUUCAGGCAUACACAAACACAUCUCAUCCUGCAGGCAAUGCCCAGCUAACAAGCUCUGCAGCACCACCACGGCAUAUUUUGGCACCAGUGCUGUACCAUUGCACACAGCCUUCUCCACCUGCCAAAAUGCCUUUCCUUGGGCUGUGCCUUUUUGCCUCUGUUUUUUGCCUUGCUUUGAUAUGGCUGCCUUUAUCUGUUUAUUUUAUGGCAGCUGGGAUCCUACCGUGUCAGCCUCCGUGAUGUCUCCCUCCACUCAUCCAAAUAAGAUAAAAUAGUCACCUGAAUGUAUCACCACUUUGAGAAGAUGACUUUUCUCCUUAAAGGAUGAGGAUAAAGCUUAUAGGGAGAGGUAGUACUUUUCUUGAGUCAACUGUUAAUAAAACCAGAAAGCUGUUGGCCAUGCAAGGCUUUGCCUGGGGCAUUAAGCAGAGCCCAGGGGUUGGGUUUUUCCAUGGAUUCCCUGUGCAAAGGCACUACCAAUACAACCAUGACAUUUGCAGUCUGUAGGACAAGGAAAUGCUUUCAGUAAGCAUUAACUUGCAUAACAAGGACUCCCCAUGCAAAAGUGGUUGCUUGUCUUCAAAGGAAUACUACUGGAGAGCUGUUUUGUGGCAAGUCAAUCAACGUUACUGAUCCUCAUUAGAUUAGAAAAAUGCAGGUUUUCCCUCCAGGAAAGAUUUGUAAGUGCUGGUAUUUCUAACGUUAGAAAUGAUUGAAACGGAGUGGUUUGAAAUGGCGAUUUUUCCUACAGCUGGAAUUUAGUAGAUGACGGUUUUCUCUCCCAUGUCCAUUCCCAUUACUUAUCAGAGCUCACGGCGUGAUUUACACCACUCCCAUCUCCUUUGCCCGCUGCUGCUCAGCCUUUACCAAACACCUGCACUGCCACCUUCUGCCUGAAUUGCAGCUCACAGCCCAAUUUCCAGCUUUCUUCUCAGCCUGCCGAACUCAUGAUGCGUGUCCCAGGAAAGUUCAGAGUGCAAAGAAGAAACAUCGUGCACAGUCACAAUGGUCCAUCCAUUGAGUUUGUUUAUAGCUGCUCUCUCUUAGGGCUGGUGACUGUGCUAUAUGCAAUUCCUAGCUGUGGUGUAGAGGAUGGGAACCCUACGGUGCUGCUAUUUUAGCAUUGUGAGCCACAGAGCUAAAAUACUUUGCUCAGCCACUGUGAAGCCAACAUUGGCCAACAAUUAGCCACAAGCAUUUGCCCGGGCUUGUUUGAUGGCCUGAUAGAUGCAGGCAGUGUCUGAAAUAAGCAAAGGAAGGAUUCAGAGCUUAUGCUUGAUUAUUUGCUAUCACUUCCAAGAAGCCGCCCUGAUUUGUCCCCGUUGGCUGUUUGUUUCUUGUUAUCAUAUGAACUGGUUGGUUCUCAGAGAGCUGGGAGACCAGAGAGGAUGUGCACGCAUGAAAAGGCUGGCAAUGUUUCACUGCCUUCUGAAGAUAAUUCCUCACAGCAUGACUAAGGGAACAGUGGCCUCUGGUGCUCACCGAGCAGCCUUACAGCUGCACUCCCAUCUGGGUGCUCACUGGUGUCAAUGGGCAUGGGCAGGAGGACCUGGUGGCUUUGCUCCAUCUUUCUCGAUGGAGAGGGAUUUGCUGCUUAACAACGUGUCCUGGACCACUUUGUGAAGCAGCUUGUCCACCACAAAGCCUCUGUUAAGACCUAAAUUAAAGCCUAAAUAUGCCCUUAAACACUUCAGGCAGGCCUAUGUUGCGAUCAAUACAUUAUUAGAACCACGAGCCUUCGGCCUGGUCACUCCUCCCUGCCCCACAGAAGUGAUUUAGGAACCCAUCAGGCAGCUUUGCAUAAAGUGAAGUGUAAGGUGAUGAUAUCCCAAGGGCUGGCUUUUGUGGGGCCAUGUGUGCUUUGGCACUGUGUCCCUGGGACUGCCGGAUCUCCCUGUUCUGCAACAGCUUGUUCAAACCAAACCCUCGAGCACAUGAGUUGCCUCACACUAAGGUUUAUUUAUUUUCUCUAAAAGCAUGGCAGCCUUUCCAAAGUGCAGCUGAACUGCAGCUAAAAAAAAAAAAAGUCAAUGGAAAAUGUGUACCAAACUCCAAAUCCCGUUGAAAUUCAAUUCAGUCCCCAUCACCUUGUAUGAAGGCUUUGAUCUUAGGCUGGAAAAUGACCUUUCACGUGCAAGUCAACCAGCAAGCUGUGUAAGGGUAUGGAGAACAGGUUGCAGAAGUCCAUGAUCUGGAAAUAGCUCAGCCUUUUGCUAUCAGCAGCUGAGAUAAAUGUAGUUGCGCCAGUGGGGUCACAGAGUGUAAGAAGCCUUAGUUUUGUGCUAGGUUUUGUUUAUUAAAUUCAGGUUUCAUUGAUGUCCAGAGCUGACAAAAAAUAUUUCCCAGGAAGACAGACAAACAGAAACAUUUCAUAAAUA